This 595-nucleotide ribosomal RNA is filed under the name uncultured bacterium. RNAcentral's name for it is "bacterial SSU rRNA". The stretch from base 1 to 520 matches the Rfam family "Bacterial small subunit ribosomal RNA", at positions 338 to 873 of the family's 1533-position model. The record is from RNAcentral.
CCUACGGGAGGCAGCAGUAGGGAAUCUUGCUCAAUGGGCGAAAGCCUGAAGCAGCGACGCCGCGUGCGGGAUGAAGGCCCUCGGGUCGUAAACCGCUUUCAGCAGGAACGAAAUUGACGGUACCUGCAGAAGAAGCACCGGCCAACUACGUGCCAGCAGCCGCGGUAAUACGUAGGGUGCAAGCGUUGUCCGGAUUCAUUGGGCGUAAAGAGCUCGUAGGCGGUUCAGUAAGUCGGGUGUGAAAUCUCCGUGCUCAACACGGAGCGGCCACCUGAUACUGCUGUGACUAGAGUCCGGUAGGGGAGUGUGGAAUUCCUGGUGUAGCGGUGAAAUGCGCAGAUAUCAGGAGGAACACCAGUGGCGAAGGCGGCACUCUGGGCCGUGACUGACGCUGAGGAGCGAAAGCGUGGGUAGCAAACAGGAUUAGAUACCCUGGUAGUCCACGCCGUAAACGUUGGGCACUAGGUGUGGGUCUCUAUCGACGGGAUCCGUGCCGUAGCUAACGCAUUAAGUGCCCGCCGNGGAGACGGCCGCGAGACGUAAACUACGAAGAAGUUAGUAGNGUUGAGAGNGCGAGGACGACGACGAGGAGAGG